Molecule: long non-coding RNA, 524 nt
Filed under: Brachypodium distachyon (stiff brome)
Lineage: Eukaryota; Viridiplantae; Streptophyta; Magnoliopsida; Poales; Poaceae
Description: long non-coding RNA (BDIS_LNC000726)
Source: RNAcentral
CGAUGCUAGUCAUCAGUUGCGGGCCACGGGUGCCCGCUACUUAUAUGUCGUCACCAAGUUUGUUUUGGCCACAAAUACAUGAAAAUUAUAUCUUGCCUUCCUUACCAUCAAUCAACAACUGAAUAGCCCCUCACAUGAACUCUACAAGAAAGAGGCUGGCAAGAAACAACUCUCGAUGCAAGAACUCAAAAAAUUUACAAACAUAUAUCGUUGAAAUUUUGAUUUUAAAUUUUUUGGCAUCACUGUUGGCCCCGAGGCGCCCGACACUGAUAGAUUUGGCUACUGCUCGUUUUUUUCGUUUUUUUUUCUUCCUUUAUCCAAAGCGGGACCCACGGUGACUUGUCUUCAAACUCACUUUUUUCAGUGUUUCUUGCAUUAUUAUUUUAAGUGUUUUUGCAUUAUUAUUUUCAGUGUUUCUUGCAUUAUUAUUUGCGGGUCAUUUCUGUACGAAAAUUAAUGUAACUAAAGAAAACUCGAAUGGAUCUUGAAAAUACAUACAUACAUAUAUAUAUAUAUAUAUAUAU